This 1968-nucleotide small RNA is filed under the name Oryza sativa Japonica Group (Japanese rice). RNAcentral's name for it is "sRNA Os02g0602700". The record is from RNAcentral. Lineage: Eukaryota; Viridiplantae; Streptophyta; Magnoliopsida; Poales; Poaceae.
UAAACAACAUGAAUACAUUAUGUCCAUAAUAUAAAAAACAGCUACGUAAGUAUAAUAUGAGACGGUGAAAGUCUCAUAUUAAGAAAUCUAGGUUAAUUGAUGAAUUAGACCAUUGGAUGGACCAACUUAUAUUAUAUGUAAUAGAUAGAGUGGUUACAUGUGUUAAUAAUUUCGUAUUAUCCGGCAAACGUUCUAUCGGAUAAUCCGAUAGAAAAGUCAGAUAAUCCGCAUCCAUCGGAUUUCAGAAAUACCAUAUCCGCAUCCGCAUCCAUAUCCGCCGGAUUUCUAAAAACUCCUACCAUAUCCUCGUUACGGACGGAUUCGGAGCGGAUCGGAUCGGAUAUUAUCCGAUCCGUUUUCACCCGUAAUUUUAUAUUAUGGAGAAAUUUAACAAUAUUCCAUCUAUUAUGUUGCUUUGAAUCGAUCGCUAGUCAAAUUUCUUUAGGUUUGAUAAAAAAAUAGUAAUAUCUAUAAUACCAACUUAGUUUUAUUAAAUAUAAUAUAAUAUUGAAUAUAUUUUGAUAAUAUGUUUAUUUUGUGUUGAAAAUGUUACUAUGCUUUUUUUUAUAAAUUUGGUUAAACUCAAUAAGGUUUUGAUAUGAAAAGUUAAAGCGACGAUUUAUAAUAUAAAACGAAGGGAAUAUUACAUAAUUAACGUGCUGCUGUAUUCUUAAUCUAGAUCGAGCAUGAUUCUGGAAACGUCACUCUCAGUCUGAGAUAUGGUUCGGCCUGUAAGGAAAUUAAGAGAUGAUUAUGCACUGUUAGGCACCUGUAAUUUGGCUCUCUCUAGCUCCAAGUUGCAGAAAGCUGGGCGUUCCUAUUCGUAAUGCAGCAUUAGUUUUUUUUUUAAGGAAUGAUGCAGCAUUAGUGAGCAGUAGUACUAGAUUCUAUUCUAGUUAAGCCUGCAUGCAGUGAUGCAGGUCAGGUCAGUUGAACUAAAGAAUUCAAAGCAGCCGCCCUAAGCUAGCUUGAAGCCCGACACUCGAAUAAUGCACAUAUCAUUGACGAGAGUGAGAGGAGUGUGGUGCUAUAUGCCUUUCUUUCUUUUUCUGUUCCUCGCUUUCAGAUCGCCGGGCGUGCAUUGCAUCGACCGGUUUGCAGGUCCUUUCCCAAGGUCGCAUAUCGCAUCGAUCUCUCAAAGGUGAGAGAUCAAAUAUAAUCCAAGCGUCAUACUACUAGUCAAAGAACGCGUGCACAUUCUUAAAAAGGAAGAGAUCUUAAGUGGUGAUGAACAAGUUGGGGGCAGCCAGUGACCAUUGGCUUCCUCGAAACGGCUAAGGGCCCCUUUGAAUCGUAGGGUAGAAAAAACGGAAGAACGGAAAAAACACAGGAUUCUGACAGGAAUUGAAGUGUAAAACAGAGGAUUGCAAAACACAGGAAAAACACAGGAAUGGUUAUUUAAUUGGAGCACAGGAAAAACGCAGGAAUCGGAUGAGAGAGAUAGAAUCAAAGGAAAUUUUUCAAGAGAUUGGAGCUCUUGCUAAAUUUCCUCCAAAAUCCACAUGCAAUGUGCCAUUCCAUAGAAAUUUCAUAGGAUUUGAAAAGUUUCAAUCCUUUGAAUCAAACGAUUUAUGUAGGAAUUUCAUAGGGCAUAAAUCCUUUGAUUCACAGGGCCUAAAUGGGCAUUGGCUAUGAUAUGGCGCAUGGAAGGAACAUUGGCCAGGAUCCGUGUGCGCGUGGACGGCCCAAUCGCCAAUCGGCCGAUCACUCAGGUCGUUCGGCUGCAUAUGUAAUGCCCCCGUUUGCAGUGACGGCGUAAUAGUCACCACGUAGAAACAUAAACCAGCUUCCGCGGCAGCGGUUUUGGAGUGAAGAGACUCGUGGAGGUGAAGUCGUCCUCUUUCAAGGGGUGAAAUUAUUGGAUGAAAUGCUUAUGAUUCCCUAGCUUCCAAAGUGUGCUAAAAAGGCUUUUUAUGUAGAAGAAUGUUUUAAAUUCAUUUUCAACUUUAUGGUAUUUAUUUCAUUUGU